Molecule: ribosomal RNA, 253 nt
Filed under: uncultured bacterium
Lineage: Bacteria
Description: partial 16S ribosomal RNA
Rfam family: Bacterial small subunit ribosomal RNA
Source: RNAcentral
UACGAAGGGGGCUAGCGUUGCUCGGAAUGACUGGGCGUAAAGGGCGCGUAGGCGGCUUGCACAGUCAGGCGUGAAAUUCCUGGGCUCAACCUGGGGACUGCGCUUGAGACGUGUGGGCUUGAGUGGGGAAGAGGGUCGUGGAAUUCCCAGUGUAGAGGUGAAAUUCGUAGAUAUUCGGAGGAACACCAGUGGCGAAGGCGACUGCCUGGACGAACAUUGACGCUGAGGUGCGAAAGCGUGGGGAGCAAACAGG